GGGUGUAUGGCAACUAUUGGUAUGUUGCGGUUGUCUGUAAAACAACUGUCCCUGACUAUUGGAGGUUCGAUUCCUCUUGCGCCCA
RNAcentral lists this transfer RNA (85 nucleotides) under Synechococcus phage S-CRM01. It matches the Rfam family "tRNA". Rfam says of the family: Transfer RNA (tRNA) molecules are approximately 80 nucleotides in length. Their secondary structure includes four short double-helical elements and three loops (D, anti-codon, and T loops). Lineage: Duplodnaviria; Heunggongvirae; Uroviricota; Caudoviricetes; Pantevenvirales; Kyanoviridae. The record is from Rfam by way of RNAcentral.